Molecule: ribosomal RNA, 497 nt
Filed under: uncultured bacterium
Lineage: Bacteria
Description: partial 16S ribosomal RNA
Rfam family: Bacterial small subunit ribosomal RNA
Source: RNAcentral
GAUGAACGCUGGCGGCGUGCCUAAUACAUGCAAGUCGAGCGAACAGAUAAGGAGCUUGCUCCUUUGACGUUAGCGACGGACGGGUGAGUAACACGUGGAUAACCUACCUAUAAGGCUGGGAUAACUUCGGGAAACCGGAGCUAAUACCGGAUAACAUAUUGAACCGCAUGGUUCAAUAGUGAAAGGCGGCUUUGCUGUCACUUAUAGAUGGAUCCGCGCCGUAUUAGCUAGUUGGUAAGGUAACGGCUUACCAAGGCAACGAUACGUAGCCGACCUGAGAGGGUGAUCGGCCACACUGGAACUGAGACACGGUCCAGACUCCUACGGGAGGCAGCAGUAGGGAAUCUUCCGCAAUGGGCGAAAGCCUGACGGAGCAACGCCGCGUGAGUGAUGAAGGUCUUCGGAUCGUAAAACUCUGUUAUCAGGGAAGAACAAAUGUGUAAGUAACUGUGCACAUCCUGACGGUACCUGAUCAGAAAGCCACGGCUAACUACGUG